This 380-nucleotide unclassified non-coding RNA is filed under the name uncultured Muribaculaceae bacterium. Its description in RNAcentral is "contains 16S-23S intergenic spacer region". The record is from RNAcentral. Lineage: Bacteria; Pseudomonadati; Bacteroidota; Bacteroidia; Bacteroidales; Muribaculaceae.
UCGCAGCUUGCGCCGGCAGUCCCGACAGAGUCCUCUGCUUCACCAGUUAGCAACUGUCGGUAGGGGUUGCGCUCGUUAUGGCACUUAAGCCGACACCUCACGGCACGAGCUGACGACAACCAUGCAGCACCUCGCGCCAGGUCAUUGCUGACUCCCCUCCUUUCGAAGGGGAUCCCUGACGCGUUUGAGCCCGGGUAAGGUUCCUCGCGUAUCAUCGAAUUAAACCACAUGUUCCUCCGCUUGUGCGGGCCCCCGUCAAUUCCUUUGAGUUUCACCGUUGCCGGCGUACUCCCCAGGUGGGAUGCUUAACGCUUUCGCUUUGCCACCCAGGCCCCAUUCGGCCCGGACAGCUGGCAUCCAUCGUUUACUGUGCGGACUAC